AACCUGCCCCAAACUGGGGGAUAGCCCGGCGAAAGCUGGGGUAAACCCGCAUAGACUCCACUAACCGCAUGGUUUGGUGGUGUAAAGGCUUCGGCUGGUUUGGGAGGGAUUUGCGUCUGAUUAGCUAGUUGGAGGGGUAGUGGCCCACCAAGGCGAUGAUCAGUCGGGGCUCUGAGAGGAGGGUCCCCCACAUGGGCACUGAGACACGGACCCGACUCCUACGGGAGGCAGCAGUAGGGAAUAUUGGACAAUGGGCGGAAGCCUGAUCCAGCCAUGCCGCGUGAAG
RNAcentral lists this ribosomal RNA (286 nucleotides) under uncultured bacterium. Its description in RNAcentral is "partial 16S ribosomal RNA". It matches the Rfam family "Bacterial small subunit ribosomal RNA", at positions 123 to 406 of the family's 1533-position model. The record is from RNAcentral.